This 354-nucleotide unclassified non-coding RNA is filed under the name Bombus terrestris (buff-tailed bumblebee). RNAcentral describes it as "misc RNA ENSBTSG00005025190.1". The record is from RNAcentral. Lineage: Eukaryota; Metazoa; Arthropoda; Insecta; Hymenoptera; Apidae.
CGACGAUACAAAUGGAAGCAUUGUAAGAUACAAGAGGUUAUAUGUUCUGACGCGCUUAACUGUCAUGCGAUGCAUGCUUGCUUACACACGUUUCAUAGAGCGACCAUGGAAAGGCAGAACAACGAUUAUGUACAGAAUAGCAAAACACUCACCACUGGUUUCGGAUAUACGUUGACCAAAUGGAUAUUAACUAAUUUCCACCCUCACAUUGUAAACUAACGUGCACUGUAUCUAUUUACUACACACUGACUUAAAAAAUUCGUGUAAAACAUAUAAAAAAGGCAAUAAUUAGGAAACUGACAAGAAAGUCGCCAUAGCGCUUUAGUACUGGGCGGCCAUAUUGCUUUGCUUCCC